GACGAACGCUGGCGGCGCGCCUAACACAUGCAAGUCGAACGGAGAAUACAGGACUGAAGCCUUCGGGCAGAUGACCUGUAUUCUUAGUGGCGGACGGGUGAGUAACACGUGAGCAACCUGCCUUCAAGAGGGGGAUAGCACCUGGAAACGGGUGGUAAUACCGCAUAAGACCACAGUGUCGCAUGGCACAGAGGUCAAAGGAGCAAUCCGCUUGAAGAUGGGCUCGCGUCCGAUUAGAUAGUUGGUGAGGUAACGGCUCACCAAGUCGACGAUCGGUAGCCGGACUGAGAGGUUGAACGGCCACAUUGGGACUGAGACACGGCCCAGACUCCUACGGGAGGCAGCAGUGGGGGAUAUUGCACAAUGGGGGAAACCCUGAUGCAGCGACGCCGCGUGAGCGAAGAAGUAUUUCGGUAUGUAAAGCUCUAUCAGCAGGGAAGAAAAAAAUGACGGUACCU
RNAcentral lists this ribosomal RNA (458 nucleotides) under uncultured bacterium. RNAcentral's name for it is "bacterial SSU rRNA". It matches the Rfam family "Bacterial small subunit ribosomal RNA", at positions 28 to 480 of the family's 1533-position model. The record is from RNAcentral.